GACGAACGCUGGCGGCGUGCUUAACACAUGCAAGUCGAACGGAAAGGCCCCCUUGUGGGGUACUCGAGUGGCGAACGGGUGAGUAACACGUGAGUAACCUACUCUUGACUUUGGGAUAACUUCAGGAAACUGGGGCUAAUACCGGAUAGGAGCUCCUGCUGCAUGGUGGGGGUUGGAAAGUUUCGGCGGUUGGGGAUGGACUCGCGGCUUAUCAGCUUGUUGGUGGGGUAGUGGCUCACCAAGGCUUUGACGGGUAGCCGGCCUGAGAGGGUGACCGGCCACAUUGGGACUGAGAUACGGCCCAGACUCCUACGGGAGGCAGCAGUGGGGAAUAUUGCACAAUGGGCGGAAGCCUGAUGCAGCAACGCCGCGUGCGGGAUGACGGCCUUCGGGUUGUAAACCGCUUUCGCCUGUGACGAAGCGUGAGUGACGGUAAUGGGUAAAGAAGCACCGGCUAACUACGUG
RNAcentral lists this ribosomal RNA (465 nucleotides) under uncultured bacterium. Its description in RNAcentral is "partial 16S ribosomal RNA". It matches the Rfam family "Bacterial small subunit ribosomal RNA", at positions 28 to 507 of the family's 1533-position model. The record is from RNAcentral.